RNAcentral lists this transfer RNA (63 nucleotides) under Ovis aries (sheep). It matches the Rfam family "tRNA". Rfam says of the family: Transfer RNA (tRNA) molecules are approximately 80 nucleotides in length. Their secondary structure includes four short double-helical elements and three loops (D, anti-codon, and T loops). The record is from Rfam by way of RNAcentral. Lineage: Eukaryota; Metazoa; Chordata; Mammalia; Artiodactyla; Bovidae.
GCUCAGCUAGUAAAGAAUCUGCCUGCAAUGCAGGAGACCUGGGUUCAAUUCCUGGGUUGGGCA